GGCCUCCUGGUGCUUACCACAGGCUGCUCUUACACUGACUGUACAGAAAGAAGGAGGCAAAGUAAACCUACUCCAUUUACACCUCAGCUCAGGCCCUGUGUCUGACCCAUACUGUGUAUGUGGAGACAUGG
This 131-nucleotide small nucleolar RNA is filed under the name Castor canadensis (American beaver). RNAcentral describes it as "Small nucleolar RNA SNORA51 (ENSCCNG00000026438.1)". It matches the Rfam family "Small nucleolar RNA SNORA51". Rfam says of the family: ACA51 is a member of the H/ACA class of snoRNA that guide the sites of modification of uridines to pseudouridines. Lineage: Eukaryota; Metazoa; Chordata; Mammalia; Rodentia; Castoridae. The record is from Rfam by way of RNAcentral.